CUCUACUCUUCUGCCCAGGCAAUGUUUGAGGCUUGCCUUCUGGAGUGCUGCGGCUUGCAGGGCUGGCCAGAUGCUGCUGGACAUCCCGUAAUCCUCAGAUACCUGUGCUGUGGCUCCUGCCUGGACAUCCCGUAAUCUUCAGAUACCUGUGCUGUGGCUCCUGCCUGGACAUCCCGUAAUCCUCAGAUACCUGUGCUGUGGCUCCUGCCUGGACAUCCCGUAAUCCUCAGAUACCUGUGCUCUGGCUCCUGCCUGGCGUCACCUUGAACUUGUUACCCAUUGUAGCUAGGGUCACAACCUGAUUCUGUGCUCACGUUUCUGUUGUCACAUUUUAAAGCAUGAUCCCCGGUAGGCCAGUGGCCACACUGCACUGGCAGACUUGCUUGCGUGGAGCACAGUUGCUGAUGGUCUGAUUCAAAGGCCAAGAGUGAGUGCUGGUCCGGUUCCUAGACUUACUUUACAAUCGAACAAUUAACCAGCACAGGCUGUCCUGCUGGGAAAGUUUCCGAAACUGAAGUCACACGAAACUUUCUCAGUUCCACUAGUGCUACACACACGCCUUCCUUUCAGAAAGCAGCAAAUUCACUUAAAGAUUGAUGGGAUUUUGGAAUUGUACUGAAAAAUAUGACCUCAUUAGUAAAUCAUGAGUCAGAGCCAGGCUGUUAGACGUACGCUCCUGUGUAAUUAGAAGGCCGGCAAGGCGAGCUAAUAAUGGCAUGGAUUAAAAAAUUAAAAUACUUUCCCUUUAUACUUCCUAGGCUUCACUGACAUUCUCCUUUUGCAAAAAUCUGGAAACAGAUCUCAUUCAGGAAGGUCUUAUUGACAGAUGGAGUGAGGGGCACAGAACAGGCUCUCUCUCUCUCUCUCUCUCUCUCUCUCUCUCUCUCUCUCUCUCUGUUGUUUCUUUGAGACAGGGUCCUACAAUGUAGCCUAGGCUGUCCUCAAACUUACCUCCUGCCUUUUCCUGAGUGCUAGGAUCAUGACAUGUCCACCAUGCCUUGCUUAAUCUUUUUCAAAUAACUUAAUUUAUUCCCUUUCUCUAUUUUACUUUUCUAUUUCAGUGACUCAUGAGUUCCAUUCUGCAUGUUCUGAUCCUCCUGUUGUAACUUUUGAGGCAGUUGAACUUUCUUCUUUAACACAGUACUUACAGUUGGAUAUUUCUCACCUCAAAUGCUUUAGCUACAUCUCAUUGGUUUUAUAUGGGGUUCAAGGGAACCUUCUCAUCCUAUUCUGGGGGUACUAUGUGAACACAGCUACACACAUAGCUACAUACAUGCACAGGCACACACACACACAUACACACACACACACACAAUCAUUGGUUAAUUGUACUUUGAACAUGUGCUGUGCACAGCAGCUCUUUACUUCAUGGGUAAAUAUGAAAUGUGUUAAGUUUUAGCAAAAGAGAGAAAGGGGUCAGAGAAGGCACCCUUAGCAUGUGCAGCAAGCGCAGCAGGCAUGGUGCUGGCGGAACAGCCACUUGCCUAGUUUAGCUUUCCAGUUUUCCCUCCUUUUCCCCCAUACCUUCCUCUCCCUUCUCCUCCUUGAGAUGGUGUCUCACGUAGCCAAGGUUAUGUUCAAGGAUAAUAUUGAACUUCUAAUCCUCCUGCCUCCACAUUGCUAGGGCUCAUGUGCCCUUGACUCCAUCUGUGGUCCAUAGCUGCACUAGCUAUGAUAGCUAGAUAGUUGGGAAGAUGCAAGGAACCCACUUCCACCCACCGAGUGUGAUCCCAGCGCUGAACACACUCAUCUGUGGAAAGCCCUAGAAAUCAAAGCAUGCUGUAUCAGGACCGUCCCUCUCUUCUCUCUUGUUUUAUUUCCUCUUCUCUCUUCUCUUCAUCUUCCUUCCCUCCCUGUAUUCUGAUUUUUUUGUUUAAUUUAUAUAUAUUUUAAGAUAGGGUCUCACUAUCAGCCCUGAUUGAGCCAGAAAUUGGUAUGUAGAUCAGGAUGGUCUGGAAUUCACAGAGAUCUGUCUGCCUCUGCUUCCCAAGUGUUGGAAUUAAAGCUUUGUACCACUGUG
Mastomys coucha (southern multimammate mouse) is the source of this 2020-nucleotide long non-coding RNA. RefSeq lists it as uncharacterized. The transcript has 2 exons. NCBI's taxonomy places the organism in Eukaryota, Metazoa, Chordata, Mammalia, Rodentia, Muridae. The record is from RefSeq and is a predicted model, not a curated record.